RNAcentral lists this long non-coding RNA (7226 nucleotides) under Brassica napus (rape). RNAcentral describes it as "long non-coding RNA (BNAP_LNC008474)". The record is from RNAcentral. Lineage: Eukaryota; Viridiplantae; Streptophyta; Magnoliopsida; Brassicales; Brassicaceae.
UGCCAGGCUGGAACAGGCUGUAAAGAGGCAAAGCGUGUGAGCCUUAUCAUCCAAUCAUCCGGAAAGCAACCUUGACUCUACAUGCUUCAAUAGUGCCCAUUUCGCCUCUUGUAAACCCUUAUGCUUUCCAUAUAAAUAUGUAACCUCACUCAUUAAUAAAAUUAUGCAGUUUGAGUCUCUCUAAUCUCUUAGACACUAUGGUUCUCUCUUAGACUCUAAACGGCUCUAUCUAGUCUCUUUAUCUUUCACAAACUUCUCUUAAUCACUUCUUAAACACUCUCUUUAUUCUGAUUACUCUAAGGAUCUCUUAAUCUCAUAUGGUAUCAGAGCCAGGUUCAUUUGAAUCUGGGGUUUGAUCUUUAGAGAGUUACAAGCUAACGGCUUUGAAGCUACACGCGAGUAGUUUUGAAGGUGUUGAAGCUGUUAUACGUUCUAGUUGAAGCUGUGCUACGUUCUGUGUGUUUGCGUGAUUCUAGACUCAAGGUUGGUGUGUACGAGAUUCAAGAUUCAAGUUUUCAAGUCAAGCAAAGAUGGAACAUGGGAUGAACAUGAGGAUGAAGGUAGCGGUUACUUUCAAAGGUAGCAACUACCUUGUGUGGUCUCGGAUGGUGAAGACUGCGGUGGGAAGAAAGGGUUUGUGGGGGCACAUCACAACAGGGGAGGCUCCGAAACUCAUUACUCAAGGAGGAGAUCAAGAAGAGGUCUCCAAUGAAGCGGCUGUGGAGAAAUGGCAACAAGAAGACAUGCUGGUGAUGACGGUUCUACACGCAUCCUUGGACCCAGCUAUCUUGGAUGCCUACAGCUACUGUGAAUCAGCCAAAGAGCUGUGGGACACGCUGAAGAAGGUGUAUGGGAACACUUCCAACCUCAGCCGUGUGUUUGAAGUGAAGCUAGCGAUCAACCGUCUUGCACAAGAGGACAUGGAGUUCACUAAGCACUUGGGGAGGUUCAGGUCCUUAUGGUCAGAGCUGGAGAUGCUGAGGCCGAGCACAACUGAUCCAGAUCAGUUGAAUGAGAGGCGCGAGCAAGACAAGGUCUUUGGGUUGCUUCUCACACUGAACCCGGCCUACACUCAACUCAUCCAGCACAUGCUAAGGUCAGACAAGCUUCCGGACCUUGAGGAGGUGUGUGCGCAAAUCCAAAGGGAGCAGGGAUCUAUGGGGUUGUUUGGAGGAAAGGGGGAGCUCUCUCUUGCCAAUCAAGCAGCUCAUGAGGACUCAACCGAGACUCCACAAGCAAACAAGGCAUCUCACGGGAAGUAUGAGGACAGGAAGUUCAAUGGCAACUGUGAUCAUUGCAAGAAGCAUGGUCAUAAGAAGAGCCAAUGCUGGAUACUACACCCACACCUCAAGCCGGCCAAGUUCAUGAAGGAGCGUGAGGGAAGGGCAAAUGUGACUGAAGGUUCAAGUGGAGCUGGCACCAGCAAGAUCAGUGAAGUGUAUGAGAUUUGAGAGCUCGAUGGGAAUGGGAAGUCUCUGGUGGCUUACACAGGCGCCUCAAGCUCNNNNNNNNNNNNNNNNNNNNNNNNNNNNNNNNNNNNNNNNNNNNNNNNNNNNNNNNNNNGAUAAGGUCUUGAACUAGUUGAAUAAGAGGUCUGAUGAAACUAGUAUGAACUUGAAUCAGAAACAAAGAGACUUUGAGAGAUUAAGAGAUUAGAGACUAAGAAAGGGGUAGAUUAAGGGAAUCUGAUCAAGAACACACUUUUAUAAUUAUGAAGGAGAUGGGGAAAACCCCCCAUACUCUCUUAAGAGAGUUACAAACGCCCAUGAGGGUCUUUAUAUAGGUUUUACACUCUUGCAAACUCAUAAACCUAUAUCUAAUGGAUAGAAAUAACUUAAGAGGAAUGGAUGGUGAGGAUGAGUUGGUCUUGUUGUAAUCUGAGUGAUGUGUGCUGAUUGGAUAAGCUAAGCUGGCUCACUUUAAUUCAAACCAAGGCAAGCUGGCUCCUUGCUUGUGAUUGGCUCUCCUUAGGCUCCUCCAAACCUUCCCAUGCAUCUGUCCAGGUUCAUGGUCGUGGCUCCCUUCUCUUUACAGCAAGAGACAGCCUGUCCAAGACCAGAACUAGCCAAUCACACACAAGGAAGCUCCCAUUGGUUGUUUGCCUCCACAAAGCAUCUUCUUCAUUCCCUUUGACUAGAUUCAAACCUUGGUGCCUUAUCCAUAUACUAUGCACACUCUUCACAUCCUGAAUAGUGACCCAAAUAGUGAAUAGUCAACCUGAAUAGUGACUAGUGAUUCACUAUUCACUUUUACACCAACUUGCCCAAACUUCUCCAAUCUUACUGUGGUAACUCGCCAAAGUUACUGUGGUAACUUUGGAGUUACUGUCUGACCCAAAUCUUCUCUAAAUGGUGUCUAAGUCCCUCCUGGACUUAACCCUAUCUUUGCACACUCAUCAGACCACUUCUGAAGCCUUAAGACUCUCCCAAAGCCUUAACAUACAAUCUCUGAAGAUCUUGCCAUGUCUUUGCACAAGCACCAACUCAACUCAUCACUUUUGCUUCUCCACUUCUUCUCUUCAAGUUAACAAAGUGGAUGGGCUUGGAGGCAAUGAUGGGAAUGGGAAGUCUCUGGUGGCUUACACAGGCGCCUCAAGCUCCCGCAGCAAUGAUGACUACAUCAAGAGAUCAGACCUUGAUGCCCUCUUCAAAAUGCUAAAGGAAAACGGUAACACUUACGGUUAUUCCUUUGGAGCUUCUAUGAUUGCAUAUAAGGAUGAUCACUUGAUUAGAGAACUAGUAGAACGGUUAGAAGCUAGGAGUGAGUAUAGACAUGCUCACAUUGCUAGAACUGAUAGGAUGCAUCCAUCACUUAGUAAUCUAUGUCAUAAUGCUAAACGAGUAGGUAAACCAUUGAUUGUUGAUUCUGGUGCAUCACAUCAUAUGAUAAGUGAUGAGAACUUGAUUAAGGAUAUAGAACCUACACAUGGGCAUGUGAUGAUAGCAAAUGGGGAUAAGAUACCCAUUAGAGGAAUAGGAAAGCUUAAGCUGUUUAACAAAGAAUCUAGAGCUUUUUACAUGCCUGAAUUCACAUCAAACCUAUUAUCAGUGAAGAAAUGUACUAAUGAUUUACAAUGCAAUGUUAUCUUUAGUCCUAAUGAUGUGAAGUUUCAGGAUAUUGAGAGCAGCAGAUUGAUUGGGAAAGGGGUGACUAAGGGAGAUCUCUAUAUGCUUGAAGAACUCACUUCUGUUCCUGAUUAUAGUUGCUCGUUUACUUCUGCUUCUUUGUUGAAUAAAAAUGCAUUGUGGCAUGCUAGAGUAGGACACCCUCAUGUUAAAGCUUUGAACUUAAUGGUACCAGGUGUUAUGUUUGAGAACAAGGAUUGUGAGGCUUGUAUUUUAGGCAAGCAUUGUAGAACUGUGUUUCAAAAGUCUACUACCGUUUAUGAUAAUUGCUUUGAUCUAAUUCAUUCAGAUGUGUGGACUGCCCCUUGCUUAUCUAGAGAUAGUUAUAAGUAUUUUGUCACAUUCAUUGAUGAAAAAUCCAAAUACACCUGGUUAACCUUAAUUCAGACCAAAGAUAGGGUACUUGAUGCAUUUAGGAACUUUCAAACUUAUGUAACUAACCAUUAUCAUGCUAAGAUUAAAAUUUUGAGAUCAGAUAAUGGAGGAGAGUACACGAGUCAUGCAUUCAAGCAACACCUAUCACAACAUGGGAUCCUACAUCAAACAAGCUGUCCGUAUACUCCACAGCAAAAUGGAGUGGCUGAAAGGAAGAAUAGGCAUCUCAUGGAAGUGGCAAGGUCACUUAUGUUUCAGAGUAAUGUUCCAAAGAGAUUUUGGAGUGAUGCGGUUGCCACUGCUUGUUACCUGAUAAACAGAACUCCAACCAAAGUUCUGAAUGAGAAGGCUCCAUUUGAAGUUUUGAACAGGUACAAGCCAGCUCUUGAUUACUUGCGAGUCUUUGGAUGCCUAUGCUUUGUGCUCAAACCAGGAGAGAUGAUCAACAAGCUAGAAGCAAGAAGCACUAAGGCUGUGUUCAUAGGAUACUCAGCUACACAGAAAGGAUACAAAUGCUACGAUCCUAUUGCAAGGAGAGUUCUUGUAUCUAGAGAUGUGAAGUUCUUGGAAGAUAGAGGAUACUAUGAAGAAAAGAAUCAAGAAGACCUGAAGGACUUAACAUCAGACAAGGCCACCACCUUGCGGAUCAUCCUUGAAGGUCUUGGAAUCAGUACAUCCCAGGAUCCGAGGAAUCACGCAACUACACCUCCUGAAGUUGGAUCACCAUCCCACCUUGAUCAUGAGGGAGGAGAGGAGCAUGAGGAGCCUAUGCACCUGAAGUUGGAUCACCAUCCCACCUUGAUCAUGAGGGAGGAGAGGAGCAUGAGGAGCCUAUGCAAGAGGCCAACCAAAAUGAAGGAGAAGAGAGCAUAGGCUCGGAUGGUCAUGGACAUGAUCAUGGUGUGACACAAACACCUUCUCAAGAUGAAGUGGUAGAAGAACAAUAGGAAGAAGAACCGGUUGUGCAGCCACUAAGAAGGAGUACAAGGAUAAGGAAGGAUCCUUCCAGUUGGGUAAACACGAGAGUGUACUACAAUGCCCAAGCUGUGGAGCAUCCUUCUCAAGCCGUGUGCUCCUUUGCUCAAUAUCCAGAAGCACAUUGCGCUUUUAUGGUAAACUUGGAUGAGAAUCACAUCCCAAGAAGCUAUGAAGAGGCAAUGAAAGAUAAAGAAUGGAAGGAAUCAGUUGGAGAUGAGGCAGGAGCGAUGAUCAAGAAUGAUACAUGGUAUGAGAGUGAGUUACCAAAAGGGAAGAAGGCUGUUACUAGUAGAUGGAUAUUCACAAUCAAGUACAAAGCGGAUGGAAAGGUUGAGAGGAAGAAGUCAAGGCUAGUUGCAAGAGGUUUCACUCAAACUUAUGGAGAAGAUUACAUAGAAACCUUUGCACCAGUAGCUAAACUACACACAAUCCGGAUUGUACUAAGCUUGGCUGUGAAUCUUGGAUGGGGGUUAUGGCAAAUGGAUGUGAAGAAUGCAUUCCUACAAGGUGAACUUGAGGAUGAAGUGUAUAUGCAUCCUCCUCCAGGCCUUGAACACUUAGUGAAGAGAGGGAAUGUGUUGAGACUGAAGAAAGCUAUCUAUGGGCUGAAGCAAUCACCAAGAGCUUGGUACAACAAGUUGAGCACUACUCUGAAUGGCCGAGGCUUCAAGAAGUCUGAACUAGAUCACACCCUCUUCACACUCACGACUCCCUCAGGUAUGAUUGCACUCCUUGUGUAUGUUGAUGAUAUCAUUAUCACAGGGAGUGAUAAGGAAGGUAUCAUAGCAACCAAGAAGUUUCUUAAAUCCAUGUUUGAGAUUAAAGAUUUGGGAGAAAUGAAAUACUUUCUUGGAAUUGAGAUAUGUAGAUCCAAGGAAGGUUUGUUCAUGUCCCAAAGGAAGUAUACACUUGAUCUUUUGAAAGGUGCAGGUGCUUAUGGAGGCAAGACAGCAAGGAUGCCUAUGGAGGAUGGCUACAAAGUCCCACGAGAGGGGGAGAUUGAAGACAGCAAACCUUAUCAGGAUCCUAAACUCUAUAGAAAACUAGUUGGCAAAUUGAUUUACCUCACUAUAACUAGACCUGACAUUUGUUUUGCUGUGAAUCAGGUGAGUCAACACAUGCAAGUGCCUAAGGAACAUCAUUGGCGCAUGGUGGAGAGGAUCUUGAUGUAUCUCAACGGCUCACCUGAUCAAGGAGUAUGGAUGGGCUGCAAUGGAAGCACUGAAGUGGUGGGAUACUGUGAUGCGGAUUGGGCUGGUGAUAGAGCAGACAGGAGAUCAACCACAGGCUAUUGCACAUUCAUUGGAGGCAACUUGGUGACUUGGAAGAGUAAGAAGCAGAAGGUGGUGUCUUGCUCAAGUGCAGAAGCUGAGUAUAGAGCUAUGCUGAAGCUCACCAACGAGUUAGUAUGGAUCAAAGGCAUCUUGAAGCAUUUGGAGAUUGAUCAAGCCACGCCAAUGACCAUGCAUUGUGACAACCAAGCCGCCAUUCACAUUGCCUCCAACUCGGUGUUCCAUGAGAGAACCAAGCACAUUGAAGUUGACUGUCACAAGGUGAGGCAGAUGAUCAUCUUAGGAGUCAUCUUGCCAUGCUACACAAGGAGUGAAGAUCAGUUAGCGGACGUGUUUACCAAGGCUGCAAGACAGAAGACAAUGGAGUCCAUUCACACCAGGUUGGGCCUCAUUGAUCUUGGGAAGAGAAGGAGCUAAUCCCCUUAGCUGCAAGGUCUUUACUCUUUUUCCCUCAUCAAAGUUUUAUCCCAUUGGGUUUUCUUUGGUGAGGUUUUUAAUGAGGAAGAUCUUGUAGCUUUCCAAGCUUAGGCUUUCACAAAGCUAAGCUUGAGGGGGAGCUUCAUGCCAACUCCUAUGAGAUUUAUUCAACUUCCUGGUGAUUCUCCACCACUUUAUGUAUCCAAAUCAAGCUUCUCACAAAUGUUGAGUUGAGUUGAUUAUAUUGGUAUGGAGAGAAGAGGAGUUGAAGAGGAGAAGAGAUGGAGAAGCUUAGGGAGUUUGGGUGUGAAUGGUACGGACGUCCGUACAAGGCCGUACAUGGCCGUACCGUCCGUACCAAAGGUCUCGACCAAAACUUACCCAACUCGACCAAGUGAAACGGUAACAAGGGAAUGUUACCUUGGGGACUUAAGGAGAAGGGAUCAGACCGUUGAGUGGAUAAGGGAAGAGCAAGACAGGCUGUGACAGGCUGUAAAGAGCCAAAGCAUGUAAGGCUUCCCAUCCGUCCAUUCAAGAGCGUGCCAGGCUGGAACAGGCUGUAAAGAGGCAAAGCGUGUGAGCCUUACCAUCCAAUCAUCCGGAAAGCAACCUUGACUCUACAUGCUUCAAUAGUGCCCAUUUCGCCUCUUGUAAACCCUAAUGCUUUCCAUAUAAAUAUGUAACCUCACUCAUUAAUAAGAUCAUGCAGUUUGAGUCUCUCUAAUCUCUUAGACUAUGGUUCUCUCUUAGACUCUAAACGAUUCACUCUAGUUACUUAAUCUUUCACAAACUUCUCUUAAUCACUCCUUAAACACUCUCUUUAUUCUGAUUACUCUAAGGAUCUCUUAAUCUCAUUUGGUAUCAGAGCCAGGUUCAUUUGAAUCUGGGGUUUGAUCUUUAGAGAGUUACAAGCUAACGGCGUUGAAGCUACACGCGAGUAGUCUUGAAGCCGUGAUACGUUCUAGUUGAAGCUGUGCUACGUUCUGUGUGUUUGCGUGAUUCUAGACUCAAGGUUGGUGUGUACGAGAUUCAAGAUUCA